Daphnia pulex (common water flea) is the source of this 2129-nucleotide long non-coding RNA. RefSeq lists it as uncharacterized. NCBI's taxonomy places the organism in Eukaryota, Metazoa, Arthropoda, Branchiopoda, Diplostraca, Daphniidae. The transcript is spliced from 2 exons. The record is from RefSeq and is a predicted model, not a curated record.
AAAAAAAAAAAAAAAGAGAAAGAAAAGUAGUCAGUUAACACAUAAAACAAAAAAAAAAAGGUGGCAACAAAACGAUUUAGAUACUCACUAGUCAGCAGAGAGGCCAGGUAAUUCGCCUCAAGCGAAUACUGGGUCUCAAAGUCAAAAGGCUCUAAAGGGCUCGAAGAAGAGGAGCCCUCCGACGACACCAGUGGCGUCGGGCAGCCGGAAACCGAAACACUCGGAGACACCAACGUCGGCGGUCGGAUGGGGACAAGCGCUGGCAUACCACCUGCGCUUUGCACCCUUCCGGACGGCGACGCGGGCGGGGGCUGAGGCACCGGGGUGGCUACAAACGCCCGGAAAGCCGAGCGGGCCGGGCUGGUCGGUCGCACAAACGACUCGACAACGGAUGGGCCGGAAGGGCCACCCGCCGGGACACGCAAAGGCACCCCACAACUUUUUCUAGCCGUCGGCCGACAUGGGCCGGAACGACAAGCCGCCGGAGGCACAACGGAGCCAGCUUGGCUCCGGGACGGCGGCUGAACGAAUCCAGAAGGGCCAGCGGACGGAACAAUUCGAGGUGAUUCGGGACGAACCCGAAUGACGAGGGGGGGAACUACCGAUGACGAGGGCAACUGGGGAAUCCCCACAGUAGAACUAGCGGAGGACUCCGCAUAAGCGACGCGCUUAAAUCUUUUAGGGCGCGGCAUUUUUAAAGCUAGAACAGAGAGGUGCAACUUUUUUCACUCAAAGUAAAAGAACGAUAGAUGCGCACUAGGGCGAGGCGAAAUAGGCAAUGAACAGAAAUAGUGAAAUCUCUGACGAAAAUAAAAAGACCACCCGUUAGACCAUCGUCAGCAAGUAAGGACACCCACCAAAUCCUCGUUUCAAAUAGCUAAAAGAUCGUAUAAAUAACAAAAAAAAAAAGAAAAAGAAUACAUUUACACUAUACUUCCCCAUAUAUAUAUUCAAGAAACAGAACCAAACAAAUAACAUGUAACACAAUACAAAAAAAAAAAAAAUGUAUUUGUCCUACUGCAAAGCUUAAGAAAGUAGAAAUAUUAAUCGAAGAGGAUGACAAUAUAGAGCACAUUGUAUUUCAAAUUGUUUACGCUACAUUUUAGCUUCAAUAAUCAACCUAUUUUCCAUUACGACCAUGUUAUGUCCCAUGAUAACCAUGUUAUGUCCCAUGAUAACCAUGUUAUGCCCCAUGAUGCCAUUAUAGAAAGUCGAAAAAUCUUGAAACCAUCAAAGGUGAAGGAACAAAAAGAAAAAAAAAAAAAGAGAAGGCGAUGUCAUUUAAUCAAAGGCGAAUUAUUGAAAAACGCGCAAGAAAAAGAAACAAAAGAGCCAACGACGAGCCAGUGUAACCAAAGCGUACCAGUCGCGCAUACGUAACACUGCAGUAGCCGGCGGGCAGAUAAAUUCCGAUGAAAGUUUCAAGGCCACCCCAUGCAUAUGUAUUGUACAGCGCCGUAAAAGCUGUGAAACUAUCGUACAUUACCUGUUUAAAUGUUUCUUUCAAUGCAUUCUAUUAACCGAUCCUUAGCUUAGCUUAAUAUUUUAUUUGCCCGGGAGUGCAAAUUUAAAAGGGGGGGAGUGUGUAAGGAUCGGGUUAACUCACCGCUCUGGCAGAGAGUAGUACCCGAACCCAGCCACGGGAGGGCACCCGCAACCAGCAAACAAGCGGCGCAUCUAUAGCACCAACAGCCAUAAGCGCGCAAUUCAAAAGACGUAUGCGCAAACGAGUCCGUUGAGCAAAUAGGAUCCGCUCACGGACACCGUGAUGCUGACUCACGGGGAGUAUCCAGUGCCGACACCGUGAGGCUGACUCACGGGAAGUAUCCAUUGCCGACACCCUGAUGUCGACACACGGGAGGUAUCCAUUCCCAACACCGCGAUAUCGACAUCAGCCAGAGUAUCAAUCCCAACACGGCAAUAACAGCAAUAACGAGAUCAAUCUACGACGCUGACUUCCGCCUUGACCAGUAUAAAAGCCCCCUUGUUUCCCUUGUAUAACCAGUCUUCUCCGAGCAGGCCUUCACGCUGGUAAACCCUUUCUCUCUUAUUAUUCUGAUAUUGAAUAGUCGCAUUCGUGUAUUUUUAUGUUCAAUCUCGUGUAUUCAAAUACAAACGUCAUCCUCUUA